ACGGGGGGUGCGAGCGUUGUCCGGAAUCACUGGGCGUAAAGGGCGCGUAGGUGGCGUGAUAAGGGUGUGGUGGAAGCCCGGGGCUCAACCCCGGGUCGGCCGUGGCAACUGCUGGGCUGGAGCACUGUAGAGGCAGGUGGAAUUCCGGGUGUAGCGGUGGAAUGCGUAGAGAUCCGGAAGAACACCGGUGGCGAAGGCGGCCUGCUGGGCAGUAGCUGACGCUGAGGCGCGACAGCGUGGGGAGCAAACAGGA
RNAcentral lists this ribosomal RNA (253 nucleotides) under uncultured prokaryote. RNAcentral describes it as "partial 16S ribosomal RNA". It matches the Rfam family "Bacterial small subunit ribosomal RNA", at positions 525 to 777 of the family's 1533-position model. The record is from RNAcentral.